Molecule: long non-coding RNA, 1534 nt
Filed under: Bos mutus (wild yak)
Lineage: Eukaryota; Metazoa; Chordata; Mammalia; Artiodactyla; Bovidae
Description: lncRNA (ENSBMUG00000021115.1)
Source: RNAcentral
CGUUGGCUCAGCUGUGCACCUUCCUCUUUGAAUGACCGCCCCCCCUUUUUUUUUGCAGAGUUCUAAACCCCACCCCCAUCGGACUGGAAGAACCUAAGAUGCCUGCCCAGUGUGUUUGAAGAUACUUCUCUAGGCUCUCGUCAAUUCCCUGGCAGAAACCACUCAAGAAAGGGUCAAAGCAGGAGGCUAAGCAGCCACUCCUCCCCAAAUCCCCAACGCUGCUGGGGUGGGGGUUGGCAGUCUCAGCGCCACACAAGCCCCCCUCCACCAAACUCACCUCCACUCCUUUUCUCACCCCCCUCCUUCAGUCCACUGUCCCUAACCCGGUGACAAUCCUCGCUGACAAGCCCCUUGCUCACCUUGACCUCCACCCUCAAGUCAACCACUUUUUAUUAAUGUGUGCAGGAGCUCUGGGCAACAUAAACCUGACCUCUGGAAGUAUGCCCAUCCCCCUCCUCUCAGUAUACUUUCCCCGCCCCCCACCCCAGCCACCUCUGGUAGAAGAACGUGAGAGACUCAAGUUAAUGGUUUCCUUGGGGACUUUCUGGGAACACUCAGCAGGUAUAUCCUGCCACCCUGUGUGCAUAACACUAGAAACAAACUUGCUUUUUCCUGUUUUUAUCGUCUGACUGGUUCCACAAUUUCUCAGACACCCCCAGACUGGGGGUGGGGGGUGCCCCCACACAUGGUAUUUCUCACCAUCUUAAUACAAACUGGAAUAUCAGGUGUGUAUUGGAAGAGACAUGGAUAGGGGUCAGCAGGGUGCAUCUCCAGUGUUAGGGAACUGACCAUUCCUAGGGCUAAAUUUCAGGUGUGUAAAAUGGGGCCAAUGGGGAGAUAGAAGGAGGGAGCCCCAAGCACCCAUGAGCAUUGAUUUUGGUGCUAGCGCUGUUGGGUACUAGCUGUUGGAGGGUGGGAGAUGGGUAAGGAUCAUUUGUGCAGAGCCAGCCAAGCCAGGUGAGAGAAGAUCCAUUUAUUAUCCUCCUUGUGCAGGACCUCAGAGGAAGAAACAAGCGUCUACUUGUUGUCACUACCUGUCACGUGUGGGGUGAAUUUACAGAAGUCCCCUCCCACUGCAGGUUCAUCUCAGUCUCAUUGCUUCCUUCCACUUUCACAGUAGGGGCAAGGAGUCCUUCGAACGGUAGCCUUCAUAGGACAGUGUAGCUGUAAAUGGAUGGUCCUCAUAGUAAAAUGAAGAUCUCAGCGGCAUUAAGGAAAAAAUGAUCUUUAGAGCAACUGGGCCAGACCCAGAAUUAGGAGAUUAGAGGAUUCGGUUCCAGUUCUUUCUCUCUAGUAUGACACACCCUGAAAAACCACUCAGAAAAUUAAAGCAUAAAUUGGUUUAUACUUAAAAAAAAAAAAUCCUCUUGAGAAAUACAGUGGGCCAAUGACAUUCCACCCAAGUACCAAGAUAAAACUUGGCACAUUCAUUCAUUCCACAAAUACUUACUGACACCUGCUACCUACCAGACACUGUCUUAGGUGCUAUAUUCCUAGCAGCUACCUUGGCGAAACUUGCUUACUAGAGACAGGA